AGAGUGAUUAUGGCUCAGGAUGAACGCUAGCGGCAGGCUUAACACAUGCAAGUCGGGCGGCAGCGGGGUGGGAGCUUGCUCCCACUGCCGGCGAGCGGCGCACGGGUGAGUAACACGUAUGCAACCUGCCCCUGUCAGGGGGACAACCCGCCGAAAGGCGGGCUAAACCCGCGUAUAUCGCCCCGGGGCAUCCUGGGGCGAGGAAAGGAGCGAUCCGGACAGGGAUGGGCAUGCGGCGCAUUAGCUGGUCGGCGGGGUAACGGCCCACCGAGGCGACGAUGCGUAGGGGUUCUGAGAGGAAGGCCCCCCACACUGGUACUGAGACACGGACCAGACUCCUACGGGAGGCAGCAGUGAGGAAUAUUGGUCAAUGGGCGAGAGCCUGAACCAGCCAAGCCGCGUGAGGGAAGAAGGUACAGCGUAUCGUAAACCUCUUUUGUCAGGGAACAAAGGCGGGGACUAGUCCCCGGAUGAGGGUACCUGAAGAAAAAGCAUCGGCUAACUCCGUGCCAGCAGCCGCGGUAAUACGGAGGAUGCGAGCGUUAUCCGGAUUUAUUGGGUUUAAAGGGUGCGCAGGCGGCCUGUUAAGUC
Molecule: ribosomal RNA, 591 nt
Filed under: uncultured bacterium
Lineage: Bacteria
Description: bacterial SSU rRNA
Rfam family: Bacterial small subunit ribosomal RNA
Source: RNAcentral